ACUCACCGCAAGUCCCGCUGCAGCACGUCACUGAUGAAGGUCUCGUAGCGCAGCACUUUCUCCCCCGUGGCCUCCACCGCCCGCCGCUUAGGGGGCGUCGCCAUGAUGGGCUCCUGGGGAGUGGGGAGGGGGAAGACCAUGUUGACCGAUCCAGUUUGGCCUCACACACAGUUCAUCUCUACCCUCUCAACGCUGGGAAUCGGCUUGUCCGGCUCAAGCUGGAGGUUCAGCCUUCCGCCCCUCCCAACUCGGGGACCCGACCACCCAGGGACACCCAAGCGCGGCCUUUACCUCAGGCCGCCAGCAAUAAGAACGGUUGGUUAGAUUUUCAAACAAGAACUUAUAACCCAGCAAGAAUGGGCCUUUGCCUGGAGAAGAAUCCAGACCAUGGGAUGAAUCCCCAAAUGCUAUUUCCAUCUGUAGAGCCUAGAGCACCCACCCCUACCAAGGAAGUCUUCCCAGAUAAUUUGUGUUUCAUAUGUAAAAGCAAGUUUUUUUUUUCAAAUGCUCAAAACCCAAGCAAGUUAAGCCCUUCCUUCCUUCCUUCCUUCCUUUCUUUUCUCUCUCUCUCUCUUUCUUUCUCUCUCUCUCUCUUUCUUUCUUUUUUUUCUUUUUUAGACAGGGUCUGUGUCCCCUAGGCUGGAGUGCAGUGGUAUGAUCAUGACUCAUUGCAGCCUCAACCUCCCAGGCUCAAGUGAUCCUCCCGCUUCAGCCUCUGGAGUACCUGGGACUACUGGCAUACACCACCACGCCCAUCUAAUUUUUAAAAAAGUUUUUGUAGAGACAGAGUCUCACUAUGUUGCCCAGGCUGGUCUCAAACUCCUAGGCUUAAGUGAUUUGCCCACCUCGGCCUCCCAAAAUGCCGAGAUUAUAGGCAUGAGCCAGCACACCUGGCCAAGUUAAGCUUUUCUUUGCCCUUAGAACGAGAUAAUUGUAAAAUGAAAACAUUGAGAUUAGUUUUUUUGGUCUGUAAAUCUCAUGUUACAUAUAGUUUAAAUUACAUUGAGUGUGAUUGGAAUAGAUACUAGGUAGAAAAAUAUUAUCUAGUUAAUCUAUACCACUUUCCUGUGAAAAGAGAGAAAAGAAGACACAUAUUUAUUUAACAGAGAACACAAUUCUGAUGGGCUGGAGAUGAGUCUGUGUAAGUCUAUUAACUUAUAUUUCACAAAAAAGAAUUUUUUACUUAAAAAUGUAUUUCCAACUUUAUUUUUACAUUUCAAACCUACAGAAAAGUUGACAGUGAACACUCAUAUACCCUGCACUUAAGUUCGCCAGUUGUUUUAUUUUGAAUUUUUAAAAUUUUUUUAGAGGCAGGGUCUUGCUCUCUUGCCUAGGCUAGAAUGCAGUGGUGUGAUCUCGGUUCACUGCAACCUCUGCCACCGGGCUCAAGCAAUCCUCCCGCCUAAGCCUCCUGCAUAGCUGGGACUACAGGCAUGAGCCACCAUGCCCAGCUAAUUUUUUGUAGAAAUGGGGUUUCACCAUGUUGCCCAGGCUGGUCUCGAAUGCCUGAGCUCAAUCAGUUCGCCUAACUCGGCCUCCCAGGGUGCUGGGAUUACAGGCGUGAGCCACCAUGCCCGGCCUGGAUUCACUCGUUGUUAAUAUUUGAUCACAUUUGCUUUCUUUCCAGACCAUAGGAUAAUUGUUGACAUGGCUGCAUAGCAUUCCAUUCUUUGGAUGGCCUCAGAUUUUUGAGCCACUCCUCUGUCACUGGAUAUUUGAAUGUGUUCAGAUAUUUUCGUUGUUAUAACCAGGAUGGGAUAAGUCUUUGCUGUCAAAUUUUUGUGCGGAGCCAUGAUUAUUUCCUUGUGAUAAAUUCCUAGAAGUAGAAUUUAUAGAUUUUUUUUGAGACAGAGUCUCACUUUGUUGCCAAGGCUGGAGUGUAGUGGUGUGAUCUCUGCUCAUGGCAACCUCUGCCUCCUGGUUUCAAGUGAUUCUUCUGCUUCAGCCUCUGGAGUAGCUAGGACUACGGGCACACACUACCAUGCCGCCUAGCUAAUUUUUGUAUUUUUAAUAGACACAGGGUUUCACCAUGUUGGCCAGGCUGGUCUCGAACUUGUGGCCUCAAGUGAUCUGCCCACCUCGGCCUCCCAGGGCGCUGGGAUUACAGGCAUGAGCCACCUCACCCGGCUGAAUUUAUGGAUUUAAAGGAGGUCACUGCAUUGUAAAUCAAGUGUUGAGUGACAGUGGUACGCAUAACAGUGAACCUCCUCAUCUAAGCUCUAUAUCAGGGGUCAGCAAAUUAUGGCCCCUGGUUUGCUGACCCUUUACAGUUUCCUAUAGCCUGCAAACUAGGAAUACUAUUUACAUCUUUAAAGGGCUUUAGAAAAGUAAAACUAAUAUUUUGUGACACAUCAAAAUUAUAUGAAAUUUGCAUUUUAGUGUCCAUUAAUAAAAUUUUCUUGGAACACAAGUCUCACUCAUGCGUUUACAUAUUGUCUGUUACUGCUUUCACGCUAUAAUGGCAGAGUUGAGUAGUUGCCAAAGAGACCACAUGGUAUGGACAUCCUAAAGUAUUUACUAUCUGGCCUUUUACAGAAAAGGUUUGCCAACCCCUGCUCUGUACAAUGCCUGUCACCAAUACAGAGGUUGGGGCUCUAACCAGGUGGGUCUCCCUGGCUUCCACUGGCGACCUCUUAACCUGGCUUAUGGGUGCACAUUUUCAGGCUGGUGCUUCUGGGAGAUAUGAGAGACACAGUCAGCUUGUUUCCAGCUCCAAGAUGUGAGAUGGACUGUGUCUCUUAUGUCUGCAUUUGAAUCUUCUCUCCUUUCCAUCCAACUUCCUGCCCCCAGCUCUGACUCAUAGGUCUCUGUCUUUGCCUUUUCCCAAGAAGAGCAAGAAAUGACUAAGGCCCAGGGGAGGCUGCAUUUCCCUGAUAGCUAAUGAUGUAGAACAUCUUGCCAUGUGCUUAUUUGUCAUCUACAUGUCCUUUAUGGUGAAAUGUCUCUUCACAUUCUUUGCUCAUUUACCAAAUGGAUUGCUUAAAAAAAAAAAAAACUUGAGUUUUGAGAGUUCCUUACAUAUUCUAGGUAUGAGUUCUUUGUCAGAUAUGUGGUUUGCAAAUAUUUCCUCCCAGGCUGUAGUUUGUCUUUUUGUCCUCUUAACAAGGUCUUUGUUAGAGCAAACACAUUUAAUUUUGAAGUCUAGUUUAUUGAUUUAAAAACAUUUUUUGGAUCAUGCUUUUGUUGUUGUGUCUAAGAACUCUUCACAAGCCGUAGCUCCCAAAGACGUUCUCCUGUGUUUUAUUUUUAAAGUUUUUUAAUUUUAUGUUUGACAUUUAAAUCUGUGAUCUGUUUUUAAAAAACAGCUUUAUUGAGAUGUAAUUCACAUACAAUAAAACCCACACAUUUGAAGUUUACAGUUCAGCAGUUUUUAAUAUAUUCACAGAGUUGUACAAACAUCACCACAAUCUAACUUUAUUUUUUUAAUAAUUUUUUUUUUUUUGAGACAGGGUCUCACGCUGUCACCCAGGCUGGAGUGCAGUGGUAGGAUCUUGGCUCACUACAGCCUCAACCUCUCAAACGCAAGCGAUCCUCCCUGCCUCACCCCCUCAAGUAGCUGAGACUAUAGGCAUGUGCCACCACGCCGGCUAAGUUUUGUAUUUUUUGUAGAGAUGGGGUUCCACUGUGUUACCCAGGCAGGUCUUGAACUCCUGAGCUCAUUCGAUCCACCCACCUCGGCCUCCCGAAGUACUGGGAUUACAGGCGUGAGGCACCACGCCCAGCAAUCUAGAGUAUUUUCAUCACCCCAAAUAGAACUCCUGUACCCACUCCUCAGUGUGUUCUCCCCACCCCAGCCCUAAGCAACCACAAAUUUAAUUUCAUCUGUAAAAAUUUUUGUAUUCUGCACAUUUCAAUAAAUAGAAUCAUAUACACUAUGUGGCCUUUUAUGCCUGGCUUCUUUCACUUAGUAUAAUGUUUUUAAGUUUCAUUUGUCCAUGUUAUAAUACUUAUUAGUACUUUAUUCCUUUCUAGGGCUGAAUAAUAGUCCCUUGUGCAUAUAUGCCACAUUUUGUUUAUUUCUCUUACCAAUUUCAGUAAAAUGUAAAGUCCUUACUCCUUUUAAGUCCCUUUUCCUCCCCCU
RNAcentral lists this long non-coding RNA (4081 nucleotides) under Homo sapiens (human). RNAcentral describes it as "HSALNT0407495". Lineage: Eukaryota; Metazoa; Chordata; Mammalia; Primates; Hominidae. The record is from RNAcentral.